CCCAGUGUCAUGCUACAGUAAACCCCUAUGAUUAAACUAAUCAUUUUUCCAAACAGUGCUUAAUAACCUUGUUCAAUAUCCCAUUUGUAAUUCUAGUCAAUUCAAAUUCAAGUGAAGUUUGAAGUUGCUCAAAAGUUGCUGGAAAAAUGUUCAUCAUUUGUCAAAAAUUUCAUAAUACUCCUUUGUUAAGGAACACUACAUCACUUUUGUGCAAAGAUGAGCAUUAGCAAUUAUAACAGCACCAAUUCAGCAUUUUUAAAUGCUAUCCUAUUUAUGAAAAAUACCAAAUGAAUUCUUUUGGUCUCCAAAAUAUUUGUGGUACUGUCUAAUAUCACCAGGGAAUAAAAGGGGCACUUCACAUAUUUUUCCAAAGAAAAUGGCAUGCCCAAUAUUUUCUUACGCAUCUCUGAUUAUAAAAAAAACAAAAAAGGAAAGUUGUUUAAAUAAAAGAGAAAACCUCCCCUGUAUCCCCCCACUGGGCCUUAGCUACCUGGGAGGCCCAAACCAGCAGCCAACAACCCCUUUUUCCCCUUCCUCCUGCUACAAGAAGCAGGGGGGAUCGUGGAGGCCAUCCAUGGCGCCCCGGCCACAUGUCGGCCAUCCCGCGGCCCUCCCUGGAGGUUAAGAGCAUCGCCCGCACUGCCCCGGAAACCCUAGCCCCCUUUUCCCCCUUCAUCGCGUCGUUUCCCUCUCUCCCACGCGCAUCGCCCGAAGCUCCCCGCUAUGGCCGAUGUUGUUCGAACGCUCCCCGUCCUCUCCGCGACGUGGGACUGAGUCUGGGAGCACCGCCGUCGUCUGCUACGUCUUCCUCGCCCAGUCGGUUAAGCCAGGACCCCUGCAUCGCCUACAUCAGCUCCUUCAAGCUCCGGCCGCCGCUCAUCGCCACUUCGAUCCCCCGCCGUUCGACCCGCUCCGGCUUCACCAAGUUGCUCCUCGUCACCGAUGUGAGCACCACGUGGUUUCCCCUCUGUUCCCGCCAUCAAUCUCGUCGCCUAGUACUCAUCCCCGCGAGCUCCGUCUCGGCCGUCUGCCAUGGCCGGCGGGCUCAUCGCUGCCGUGUCCCCUAGCUCCGUCUGUCGAUGCGAGCAUGCUCCAGGAGUUGUGUAGAUUCCGCCUAGCCUCUCGGUUCGUCAUCUGAGCCCGUGGGCUCGAUCCAGUCGAACGCCGACACUGCCGUCGCUCGGCCGUCGACGUAGUCGUCGUUCUUGGGCACCCCCCUGUGCACGCUAGCACCCUGGACCGAUGCACCGCGCAGCCCCGCACCGCCCAAGCUCCGGCCAUUGGCCACGGUUCGUGUUCGCGCCUCGUGCCAUAGCGCCCCGUGCGAGCCCCCUGGCCGCGUCCGGCCGCGACCGGCCGCGCGCCGUCCGUCCACUGGCCGCACCCCGCCGCUGCCGUUGCAUGCCCUUGGCUAGCCCCGUGCCUUCUUUGCUGCUGCGUGCUUGCUGCUCACGCGCUGCUGCUGCCUGCUCUGCCUACUGCUACUCCCGAUGCUGCUUGCUCCUGCUUGCAGCCGCUCCUAGCUGCUGCUACUUCGCUAGCUGCUAAGCUGUGCUGCUUUGCUGCUGGCCAUGGCCGUGCGUGAGUGUGGUGUGUGUGUGUGCACGUGUGUGUGGGGCUGGCCCAAAUUGGUUUAGGUGUAAAUUAAUUAGCUAGAUUAGUUCUAGGAUUAUUUUGAUGUUUAGUCAGUAUUAAUUUAGUGUUAGAUUAGCCUAAUAGCCUAUGACAUGUGGCCCCAUUUUAAUCUAGACAUUUUUUUAAUUUAGAUGCCCAUGACAUGUGGGCCAUACCUCACCUUUGACCAGUCAAAAGCUGACUGGGCUGUUGACUUUGACCCUGACCCCACUGUCAGCCUCUAACAAGCCUUGCUGGGUGCACUCCUCAGGGUGCACUGAGCAAUUUCAGUUAAUAUUUUCGAAUUAAUAAUAAAUCCAGAAUUUUAGAAUAUUGUUUAAAACUUUAGAAAAUCAUAGUUAAUAAUCCGUAACUCGGAUGAAAAUGUUUUCUACAUGAAAGUUGCUCAGAACGACGAGACGAAUCCGAAAAAGCGGACCGUUCGUCUGCCACACGUCCCUAGCUUAGCAAACCUCGAACCUUUCCCCUUCGGUUCAUUUGUCUGACAUACGUCCGGAACCGGGAAAACAUUCCCGGAUAUUUCCCCUCUUCGUCUGUAUCACCUAGCACCGCGUUAGAUCGCUCCUAGAACCGCGUUUUACCAUGUUAUGCUUUAUGAUGCUUUGAUUGCUCUGUUAUUUAUGGUGUUCCCUCUCCGUCACUUCUUUCUGGUAGACCCCGAGACGGCUGUCGAUGCCACUAUGUUCGACUACGUCACCGACGACCCUCCUUGUCUGAGCAACCAAGCAAGCCCCCCCUUUGAUCAUCCCGAUACCGCCCAUUCCAUUCUCUCAUGCUUGCAUUAGAUUUUGCUAUCAUUAUUGUUUGCUCCUAUUCUGAUGCAUAGUCUGUUUAUUGUAACAUGUUGUUGUUACCUACCUGCUUAUCCUAAACUGCUUAGUAUAGGUUGGUUAGUGAUCCAUCAGUGACCCCCACCUUGUCCUUGUUGCCCCUGCUUCAUCAUUGAAGACCCGAUCAACGGGAUCGAAGACCAGGCCCUGGCACCGCACAUCACUUUUCCCUUAGUUGCUCGACACUGCUGGGUUACUAUCGAGUGCCGAGGAUGAGACCUCUACAGCACUUCUGAUGUUAACCCUGUAGUGUAGCUAUUCAGUCGUGGUCAUCGAGGGUGAUUCCGGCUUAACCACUUCCGAUACGACUCUGUCGUGCAACCCCUCAAGUGUGAACCUCAGGGGUGAUUCCUCUUACGUUCACCUUGAUGAUUACAUCGAGUGGAAUUCACCAAGGGUGAUUCCUGGGUUUUCCCCUUGAUGUUUAGACACACAAUUACUAUGAUUACUAUGACUUUACAAUGAACCAUGUUACUAAAGACGGGUCGACCCUAAGGGGUACCCGCACGAGCAUAAUUGCGAGUGAUGAGGAGUCGGGUUGACCUGGAAGGUGCCCGUGAGAUAAUUACGAGGCGUGACCGGGCAUUCUUAGCCCUUGCCGCAAGUCCUCGAGAUGGGGCAAUGGGGUCACAUCUUUCGUGCAUCUCUGCUUGUUACCGCAUGUUCAUAAUCCACUACGAUUUGUUUGGAUAUUUGAUCCGAGGGGCCUCUGGCCUGAUAGCACUAACCAUCACGUGGGCAUAGUAUGGGCGUUCUGCGUCGUAUGCAUGAGCCGAAGCUUAACACACGUCAGCGACUGAGCGGCGCGCGCCGGGUGGGACUGGUAAGCACCUGCCUUUUCAGGGAGGUAGCUAGGUCUGCUCACCGGCCGCAUUCGCAACAUGCAGGAGUUCCCGGGGAGAUGGCCCAUGACCCUUGGGGGCAUAGGUUUAGUCCGGCAUGCUAGCCUCUCUAUUAUGCCUAGGUCGGGUUGUGGCGUAUUGUUUGGUCCAGGCCGGGCAUGACCAAGGAAAGUGUGUCCGGUCGGAGUUAAUCGAGUGUGGUGGGUAAGUUGGUGCACCCCUGCAGGGAAGAAAACAUCUAUCGAUAGCCUGUCCUACGGUAACGGACACUUGGAGUUGUAUCCCGAUCGAUACAACUAGAAAUGGAUACUUGUGAUGAGAAUUGGAUUGUGAUGAGAAAUGGAUAGUAUGGCUCUGGGAUUGCUUUCUCGCAGGGAGUCGAGAAAGGAUCUCUGGCCGAGGUUGAUAACACUACUACUACUUUACUUUAUGCUACUCUACUCCCUCCUGUUGCUGCAAGAUGGUGGUUUCUAGAAGAUGCUAGUCUUUGAUAGGACUAGGCCUUCUCUCUAUUCUGGCAUUUUUGUAGCCCAGUCCACAUAUACAGCCUUCCUUUGGUAAUGUUGCAUAUGUAGUGUAGAUCCUUGCUUGCGAGUACUUUGGAUGAGUACUCACGGCUGCUUUGCUCCCCCUUUUCCCCCUUUCUUUUUCUUUCCGGUUAAUGCAACCAGAUGUCAGAGUCCAGGAGCCAGAUGCCACCUCUGGUGCCUACUACUACGUGGAGACUGCUGACGACCAGGAGUAGUUAGGAGGCUCCCAGGCAGGAGGCCUUGCCUUUUCGAUCGUUGCUGCUUUUGUGCUAGCCUUCUUAAGGCAAACUUGUCUAACUCAUGUCUGUACUCAGAUAUUGUUGCUUCUGCUGACUCUUGUGUUUUCGAGCUUAUGUAUUCGAGCCCUCGAGGCCCCUGGCUUGUAAUAUAAAGCUUGUAUUAUUUUAAUUUGUGUCUAGAGUUGUGUUGUGAUAUCUUCCCAUGAGUCCUUGAUCUUGAUCGUACACAUUGCAUGUAUGAUUAGUGUACGAUUGAAUCGAGGGCGUCACAAGUUGGUAUCAGAGUCGACUGCCUGUAGGUAGCCCCCUUUCCAACUCCUUGGCCGAAGUUGAGUCUAGUCACUGAAAAACUUUUACUAACAUGGCUGUGUGUCUUACGGGCCCACGUCGCCAUUGGGUGGUAUUAGGAUCUUUUACUCCUCGUCUAUACUCUGGGACUCUAAACUCUCUUCUACUCGCGUCAAAUGAAUUUACUAACUACAUUAGGUUCUUGUAACGACUUUCUCCGGAGAGCCCCUUCAUUCCGGAUGGUCGCCUGGUGCACCAGAAGAUUCUGAAGAUACUCUACGAUGUUCUCUUGAGACUUUGUGCCAAUUGCUUUUGCAAUUCCCUACCAUCGAUAUAUCCUUAUGGAUAACUACAUACACUUGUCAUUCAUACAAUCAUUCCUUGUUGCUCUUGUUAUUACAAGAUGCCUUAAAAUACUCUCCGUUACCCCGAGAAUCCUUUGUGCCUGCUGCCUUGCAGCUCCUUUUCCGCAUGAAUACAUGUAUGAAUAAUUCCUCACGCUUACCAGGGAUCCGUUCAUCACCGGUUGUUCUUGUGUUUCACAAAUUCUUUGGAAUACUAUUCGAUCUUCUGGUAGUACUCAGUAGCCUAUUGCUCCCGUUCUUCCUUAUCGUCUUGCAUUAUGGUUAAUUCCAAAUGUGUAACAAUAUUCAUUAAACUCCUUUGAGAUUGUCAUUCUUAUCCUAUUGAUUCGACAUGUGCGUGAAUGCACACAUUCAUUAGUUAUUCCCUGGUAAUUAUUUAUCCUUCUGGCUUAGACUCCACUCUGGACAUGAUCUGGUUCUCGGCAAGUCAAACCUUGAUUGCUUGUCCAUCUAGUUCGAUUCAACUUACUCAUACUUGAUCAGAGCUUUUGCUUCUGAUUCCCUGAUAUAGAAAUUGCAAUUCCUUUGUAUUUAAUAUACUUCAAAUUAUCCAGAUAUUUCUAUAAUCGAAUGCCUUUGCAUUCUUUCCUUCUUCUGAUUGAGUACUGAUACUCAUAUCAGAUCCAUUGAGGACCGCUGAAUCCUUUGUUGGAUUAUUAUCCGGCAGUGUCCUUCAUAUUCAAAAUUUUGUGCGCUCUUCCCCUGAUACAUAUUGCCGUUGGUAAAUUGUAUUCUCUGCUUUGUCAACCAUGCUUUGCUUCCGAGCUUGAGUUAAUUACCUCUGAAGUUUUUGCAAAUGUUCCUAAGAUGCCCCUAUGGGUUGAACCUAUGCCUUCCUUAAUCCAUGUGAACCCGAGAGUUUUCACGAGUCAUACUCUUCUGGUGUUUUGCCAGAUAAAAUUUCAACUCUACAACUUCUUCAGAGACGAGAAGUGAAUGAAAGGUUAGGCAUUGAAAAAGUGGGAGUCGACCUUGAACCUUUGUGUUCAUGCCCAUGGACCCGAUGUGGAACUUGUCAUGGAAGCUUCUUGUAAUAAUAACUAUUUCCUUAAUAUAAUAUCAUUUGGUAUCGGUGAAUUGAUCCUUCGCAACCAUGGUUCCGACCAUGAUUGUUCUUCUUUGGUCCCAUUUCUUGGACAAGUUAAAUCACUUGUCUUCUGCCGGUUAAUACGCCUGCCCAACCUCUAUUAUGAUCUACUUUCGAGUAUUACCCAUGGUAUCUCGAGGAUAUCAUGCCAUUGCACAACAUCUUAUGGACUUUUGAUGGAGUACUACCUUACCCUGUCUUUGUCACUUCAUGGGAUUUGGGUUGUUUAUCAACCGAGAAUACCGAUAAGUGGAUCGAUUCUGCACUUUGAUUCAAUGACUCUAAGUAAUUUUCGUUGCUUACGAGUUUAAUAAUCCUUCAAGUCAUUCCUAGCCUGAUCGGCUAUAUCAUUAUCAUGCCAAAUUAUAACUGUGCUACCUGGUUCUUCCCGGAGCACAAUUUUCGUCGAUGAGCUAAGCUUACGUCGAUCUUCCUCGUCAUAUCAUUUCGCCUUGAACAACAAGCUUGGUUUCAAGUUGUGUCAUAUCCGUGGUUCUCAUUGCCUUUCACUUCAUCUUUCCUUUUGUUUGUUGUCGUCGCUGCUCGAUGGCAUCUUCCAAGAAUCUCCCGACAAAAUUUGUCGUGAUCGCCGUCAACACUUUGAUUUCUUCAGAGAUGUCAAUCGAAUUCAUGUUGAGAAAUACCAUCCUUGCUCUUCGAUGAUUUGUGAUAUCAUCAAUGACAUCCUUGACUUUCUGCCAACACAGACCCGGUUGUGUUUGAUUAUUCCUUACGUUCAGAGAUAAUCUUGGAAAUGUUCCUUUGUAUCUCUUGUGAUCUUUAGAUCCAACCUUACUAGAAACACCAUAUGUCAAUGCUACCAUGAAGCAUGACUGUGGAAUUCUGAAUAUCGACAAGAACAUUGGUAGCACAUUAUCAAAGGUCCUGGAUCUAUCAUCCGCACACCGUUGCAUGGAUAACAUCAUGAAUUUCCUUGCCCCUUCAUCUAAAUGGUGAUGUACUUGUUGUUCUGACAUGUAUAUCAUGCUCUACUUUUCCUUGGGAAAAGAUAUACUCCCAAUUCUUGUGUGUAAACACAUUAUUUUCUUUCCAUUGCUUUGUUUAAUCUUUCUUGUGAUCUAUGAUAUAAGCAGUAAUAUUUUCCUGCUUAUGUAAACACCUCGGUGUACAACUCUGUCAGUAAACCCUGUUACUAUUGUUGAUGACAUUCCGGUAACCACCGAUGGACGAGAACUUUGCCUAUUGGUCUGCCUCAUUCAACGAGCAGGAAAAUGGUUCUCUUCGUCCCUCGCCCUUGGUACCAACGUUAUUGCCAACAUAACAGACAUGCUAUACUAUGACAUGCCUUGCUAUCUUAUCCGCGUAAGAUGUCGCUGCUUUUCCUACUCUGAACACACCUGGUGGGCCCAUAACCCACAGUUCCACAGGAUCAAAACCUGACUCCCUUGUACAACCUUUAUUCUGAAGUAUCCUUUGCAAUUGGCUUCGUAUGAAAUUCUCGAGCCACCGUCCUAUGGAUGAUCUAGUAUGGUAUUAGAUGGAAUAUUUCUUUUCGUUGCUCCGAACCCCUUUAGCCUUCUGAUUUGGCAUCAGACGAUUGCCUGCCCGUUAUAACUUCUCAUGGUACCUUCAUACUUUGCUCUCAAAGUUUUAUUAAGUUUCAACUCGAGAGAUACUUCCGCCUUAUGCCCUGAAUUGUUCACCAGAUAAUUAACCCUAUAAAGGUUAGUUCCCCGAAGUUCCUCUUUACUUCUCCACUUAAAUCUCGGGACGAGAUUUCUUGUAGUGGAGGAUAUUUGUAACACCCCCAGUGUCAUGCUACAGUACCCCCCUAUGAUUAAACUAAUAAUUUUCACAAACAGUGCUUAAUAACCUUGUUCAAUAUCCCAUUUGUAAUUCCAGUCAAUUCAAAUUCAAGUGAAGUUUGAAGUUGCUCAAAAGUUGCUGGAAAAAUGUUCAUCAUUUGUCAAAAAUUUCAUAACACUCCUUUGUUAAGGAACACAACAUCACUUUUUUGCAAAGAUGAGCAUUAGCAAUUAUAACAGCACCAA
This 7828-nucleotide long non-coding RNA is filed under the name Triticum aestivum (bread wheat). RNAcentral describes it as "long non-coding RNA (TAES_LNC022222)". Lineage: Eukaryota; Viridiplantae; Streptophyta; Magnoliopsida; Poales; Poaceae. The record is from RNAcentral.